UGGGGAAUUUUGGACAAUGGGCGAAAGCCUGAUCCAGCAAUGCCGCGUGUGCGAAGAAGGCCUUCGGGUUGUAAAGCACUUUUGUCCGGAAAGAAAUCCGUCUGGCUAAUACCUGGAUGGGAUGACGGUACCGGAAGAAUAAGCACCGGCUAACUACGUGCCAGCAGCCGCGGUAAUACGUAGGGUGCAAGCGUUAAUCGGAAUUACUGGGCGUAAAGCGUGCGUAGGCGGCGAUGCAAGACAGGUGUGAAAUCCCCGGGCUUAACCUGGGAACUGCACUUGUGACUGCAUGGCUAGAGUGCGUCAGAGGGGGGUGGAAUUCCGCGUGUAGCAGUGAAAUGCGUAGAGAUGCGGAGGAACACCGAUGGCGAAGGCAGCCCCCUGGGAUGACACUGACGCUCAGGCACGAAAGCGUGGGGAGCAAACAG
Molecule: ribosomal RNA, 428 nt
Filed under: uncultured organism
Description: bacterial SSU rRNA
Rfam family: Bacterial small subunit ribosomal RNA
Source: RNAcentral